UGUGUAGGUAAACCGUAUCCC
This 21-nucleotide non-coding RNA is filed under the name Arabidopsis thaliana (thale cress). Lineage: Eukaryota; Viridiplantae; Streptophyta; Magnoliopsida; Brassicales; Brassicaceae. The record is from RNAcentral.